This is a non-coding RNA of Phalacrocorax carbo (great cormorant), 7601 nucleotides long. The record is from RefSeq and is a predicted model, not a curated record. Lineage: Eukaryota; Metazoa; Chordata; Aves; Suliformes; Phalacrocoracidae.
GGGAAUCAAGUGGAAAUAGCAAGCAAUAAAUGUAAAUGCUUGAAUGUGGAUUGCUAUAAUGUUGUCUAAGAGUACGGAAAUUUCAUGAGUUAUAUUUUACUUCCACAGGAAGUUUUGUGUUUAAUUUCUAGGAACCCAAGGGCAAAGCAAAGCAAUUAAAAUGCUGAAGACUUAAAAAUAAACUUCAGAAGCAUCAAGUAAAAUACCUUUAGCUGAUUAGUGGUACAAUGCGUUUUUAAUGAGAAAUAAAUUAGGAUUGCAUUAUUCCUAAGGAGGAUAAGGAGAGGCAUUAGAUAUCUGCAUUGAUAAUAGGGGGCUUAGAAAUAAUCUAACACUAUGAGCUGCUUUUCUAGAAAAUAAUAGGAAACAUAUAUGGCCUAAUGCAGGUAGGAAAAGCAGUGAAACAAAGAAAUUGGUAAAAGUCCUUUCACUAAAAAGCUUAUUGCAAGUUGAAUUUUGACGUAGUCCCAUCACUCCUUUGAUCUGUUUAGACUUAUCCCUUUGAUAUGUAUCCAUGUUUCUCUAUUUUUGUCAAAUCGUUAGUUUGUCUUGAAGUCUGAUUUUAAUGCAAACUAAUUUAUAUAAAAAGUGCAGAAUGUAAAAUUUAGAAUUAAUUUUGAAUGACCCACAUAUAAAAUACUACCUCCUGUAUUUACCCACAGCAAACAAAAUUCUACUAAAAACAGGGCUCAGAAAUACACUUUACGAAAUAUUUCUUUUCACUUGUCCUUUUGUGGCACUGUACCAAAUGAAGGGAAUAAGAAAAGUCCUUUGAUUGGGAAGAUUGGCAGCAUUUAUGUUUUUAAAUAAAUUGAAUUUUAAAUACACAUCUAUUGUCUGGGUUAAAUUGCUACACAGUGAAAGGAAUGCUGUUCUCUAAACAAUAAUUGGUCUAUUUCAGCUCUCAAAUUGGGUCACAGUAAGAGACAGCAUUCUCCGUUCUUUCUCUCUUUCUCUCUCUUUUUCCCUUGAUUCCUUGAAAAGGUGAUUGAAACUCUAAUCAUUACUGCAUUGAGGCAGUGUACUCAUAAAAAUAAUAUUUUUCAUGAAGGAUACAUCCUCUUCCUUGCCCCUGUUUUUGACGGCAUUGUAUUGUAAAACAUCUGAAGAACAAUGAAGAAAUCUGCAGUCUGAACAAAAUAUGCUGGAAUUUAUUUUUGGUAAUGAAUACUUCACCUUCUGUAUGGGACCAUGGUAAAUUGAAAUAAAUUAGGAUGAUUAAUCUUACACCAUUUUACAGUCAUCAUAUUCCUAAACAUGCUUUUUAGUCCAAAGGGAAGGAGUGUGGGGAGAUGAAAAUACUGGUCUACGAAGCUCAUAUGCUACAUUACUUCAGUUAUGUCUCAAAUUGCUCUGACAGAUAGGUUGGGUAGAGUUUUAUAGAAGGUCAUAGCUGUUACCUCGUGAGUCAAAGCAGGAAUGCUUUGGAUCAGCCUGCUUUUUUACUGAAGUGUGUGCACACUUAAAAGGGUGUGAAGGGAUCUGUGAAGCUGUAAUACCCUGCGCUUUGGACACAGUGAACAUCAGGGCAAUUGGGUAAUCUAUCUGUGUGGUAUAUAUAAUGUACAAUAUCAACCAGUAUUUAUGUUGUUAACAGUGGAAAUUUCUUGAUAUUGAGUUGCUGUGAGUAUCCAUGUCUGACAAAUGCCAGCAGAGAAGUCGUCAAAUAGCCUGCAAGAGCACCCCAUGCACCUAAAGAGUGUCAGGAAGAGGAUGGUGCCAACUUUCAGCUGAGGAGGAUAGCCAGUAGCACAUAAUGCAUUGCUUCCCAAUUCUGUUUCAUUUCUUCCCUAUGUCUUUGUUCUUUGACAGGUCUUCCAGUUUGCAUCCUGCUUUAUGGAAGGUGACUUCAUGGGAUGAAAGGUCAGGGCUUGACAUGCUGAAUUCUGCCUUAACCUUACUGCACUGUCUCUCACCCAUCCUAUCUUAGAUUGUGCUGCUGCGGCCAAGAAGGCCAACAGGAUGCUGGGUUGCAUCAAAAAGGGCAUCACCAGCAGAGAUAAAGAAAACAUUAUCCCUCUCUACUCAGUGCUUGUCAGGCCACACCUGGAGUACUGGGUACAGUUCUGGUCCCCACUAUACCAAAAGGAUGUGGACAGGCUGGAAGGGGUCCAGAGAAGGGCUACCAAGAUGAUCAGAGGACUGGGAAGCUGCCACACAAGGAUAGGCUGGGAGAACUGGGUUUGUUCAGCCUUGAGAAAAGGAGGCUUAGAGGGGAUCUAAUCACCAUAUACCAGUACUUAAGGGGCAGCUACAAAGAAGAUGGAGGUUCCCUUUCUACAAGGAGUCACAUGGAGAGGACAAGGUGGGAUGGACACAAGUUGCUCUUGGGGAGAUUCCAACUGGACACAGGAGGAAAAUUUUUCACAGUGAGGACAGUCACCAUUGGAAUAAUCUCCCCAAGGAAGUGGUUGACUCGGCCACGUUGGACACCUUUAAGAGUUGGCUGGACAGGGUGCUGGGCCAUCUUGUCUAGACUGUGCUCUUCCCAGAAAGGUUGGACUAGAUGAUCCCUGAGGUCCCUUCCAACCUGGGAUUCUGUGAUUUAAUGUGUAACUAUAAGAUAAGCCCACAGGUGUGGAAGAGCUUGAAGGGAGAUGGUGGUGGAGAAAAAAGAGUGAGAAACUUCACAGGGUCUGAGUAUAUGUAUGAAGUUUGUUUCAGCUCCUAUCCUGCUCCUGCUGGAAUAGACCCGGUAGGAAUGGUGACUCCUUUCUGCAGCUUGGAAAAAGUGAAGAAGAAAGAGGUAAAGGAGCCGCUAUAGUAAGGAAGUCUUCCUAUCUCAUCUCUGUUUCAUUCUCACUGUGGAGAGGGAGUAUAAAUUAAUUGCUAGACCAAUGGAGGGCAGAAGAGGUUGGGUAACGUGGAUGAACUGUCCUUCAGCGGAAUUAAAGAGUCAUGAGAGCAGGAAUCUUGGUAAACCCAAAUCAGAGAGUGCUCAUAAGUGAGGAACCUGAGGCAUUAUCAUCUUUAGUUAUUGUCUGGAUUAAAGGUACGCUACCUGGAAUGGGUUAAAUAUAUGGUACUCUACAUUUCUGUGCAAAUGUGUAUGUGUGUACUACUCCUAUUGCGUGUUCCUUAUGAAUACAGCUGUUGCUGCAAUUUCUCUACACAGCUGAUGAUCUGGGCAAUCAUACAUUUAUGUAUGGGAGGGAGGAGGUGCUUUCAUCCCAAAGACAUUGGGUAGUGCUGACAUUGUUUAGACUCCAAAGAUCUAAAAGAUACCAGGCUCAAUAAGUGUUUGGAUGCUUAUUAGAUUAUCCUGUGUACAACCAGAUCUGUGACUGUGUUUUGGCUUUGCCCUGUUUGCAUGUAACAGCAUUUUCCAUCACUGUAGCGCAGGGCUGAAUGGCUAAGAAGACUUUUAUGUUGCUGUGUAUUUAGGUUUUGUUUCAAAAUGAGAGCUGAAAAUAUUAAAGGUGAAAAAAUAUGAGUAAGAAUGUUAACCAAUAGUUUUAAAGUAAAACACAGAUCUUAGCAUGUUUUUUUAUCAGGCACUUUCUGUAAGCAGUAGAAGGCUUGCUGCCACAGGAUACCUCUGCCUCCUUGGAGUGAGUACAGCUGGCCUAAAAGCUCAAGUUUGUGACAUUUCUUUGCCUUUGAUAGACUUAGACUAGUCGAGGGAUGUUGGAUGCAAACAAACACGGCCCUUAUUUUGAACAGUUACAAUUCCCAUGAGUAUUUUUUUUUCCCCUACCACAAAUCAUCUAAACAACUUGAACAGCCACACUGUUUAGAGGGAUUAUGACUUGUAGUAGGCCUAAGUUUUGUCUUAUUUUGGUUUAUUUUACCUUUUCUGGUAUAUUGACUCUUUUUUCAGGGUGAGUUUAUUUUGUUGCCUUAGCAAAAAGUAGGUGUUUCCUGAAGGGUAUCAGGUGCUGGGAGUGAUAAUACAAGCUAAGGUUAGUAUUGGGAGCAAUGAUCAGAAGAAGAGGUUAAAUGUUGCAGUCACAUAAAAUGUCUAAGGUUUGAACUCGAGUAGAUGUUUAUAGUUGCAUAAGCAUAAAUUACAGAUUAAAAAGCCUGUCUGACAAAUCUUCACAAAUCAUAAGCAGCUGUAACAUCGGUGUGCAAACAGCUGUUUUGUUGUCCUUGACACCCAGAGCAUGGCUAGUCCCUAUAUAUAUAUAUUAGGUAGCCUUCUUGUGAGAGAAAAAAAAAACUUUGGAGAUUCAGAAAAAUCAGGUGCAACCUCUUCCAGGGUGGGCCCAUUGGUUUCUAGGUCACACCUUGGCCUUCCACCUUUGCAGAGUAGGAGCUAGGUAUGGAUAGAGGUAGACAAUGCCUCCUCCAGGGUUAGCCUAACCUUAAAUGAAGGUUAGGAAUCUUGUCUAAGUGAAUCACCUAGAUUAUCGCAGUAGUCAGUAGAGGCAUCUUCAGGGGCAAUUCAGUCCAUCUAGCUUACACAUCAGUUGCAGGACAGGAUGAACUGAUGAAUUACCUGCUGGAGUUAUAUAUCUCCAGAUAUAGAAAGGAAUCUAGUUGACCUGACUGGAACACCAGCUCUUACACAGAGGAAGUAGAGUGAGGUGGUGAUGUGGUUCCAUCUCCUCGUGGGUUAUGACAGCCCACAACUUGGAAUUAAUAGAUCCGUAAGACUAAGUUCAGCUCAGGCCUUGUAAAAAAAAAACCAAAAACCAAAACCCCAACCAAAAAACAAACCCCCCAAACAAAACCAAACCAAACCCAAAACCAAACAGAGAGAAGAAAAGAAGAAAAAGAGAUGAUUCGUUGUCUUUAUGCUCUGUGUCCUGUUAGCACCCUCUUUGCUUCAGUGCUUGCAGCGUGCUGGAAGAGCCAUGGUCUUCUGUGGUAAUGCUAUCUUUGUCUCACAUGUAUCCGAAUGCAGGUCACUGGUUUCCUAGCUGAUGUGCUGUUGACAGAUUUCUGGACAGGCAAGCUGCCAUAUGUAGGACUGCUGAUCUUGGGUCAUUCGAGCAGUAUGAGAUACCUUCCUACAUUUCUGUGCCUUUUUUAGUAUGGAAAGGGGAGAGUAAGAUUUGAAUAUACACAGAUAAUGCCAUUACCAGCUCAUUUAAAAGGCCACAUUGCAUUUUUUCAACAACACUAUACCUUCCUAAACAAUGUUCAAGAAAGAUAGGGGUAUAUUUAGAAGAUGGAUAUUUCAAUUGCUGGCUAUCCAAAAGUGACAUAACACCAGGACAAUUUUAAAUAGGAUGAGGCUUUAAUGGGUCUCCUAGAGGGGGAAAAAAAGCUGUUUAUUAGUAGCAAUGUACUAAACUACCUGCAUUUGAUGAAGUGCUAAUGCAGGAAAUCACUUAUAGAGAAACAAAUGAAAAUGUCAAUUAAAAAAAAAUAAUGGUGCUUUCAGUUGUGGGGUUUUGUUUUUUUUUUUUUCCAUUCUUAAGUGCUGGGUAUGGUUUCCUUACUGCUUGAAAAGCUUUUGGUUUGUCUCUGUUGCCUUAGUUCUGUGUGGGUUUUUUUUUGUGGUUUUUUUUUUUUUUUUUUUUUUGGGGGUUGUGGGGGUGUGUGUUUCUUUGGUUGGUUUGGGUUUUUUGGGUUUUGUUUUGUUUGUUUUGUGGGCCAUUCCCAACCCCCGUAUCUGCUGCAUUGGAGUUGGAUUUCAUUUAGACUGGAGGCUAAUUUAAUAUUCUGGUUUAAUGCUUUUUCUCUAUUGUUUUAUUUUUCCAAUUUUUUUACAGAGCAUUUUUCCAAUGAAAAUGUGUCCAAGAGCACAGUGCAUGCACUUAUCAGCUUUGAAUUGCCUAAUCUUCAGAUGACUGAGUAACAAUUAAUAAAACCCCUUUAUGUGGGGGAGAAUGGGAUUAGACUGGGUGCAAACUACUCCUGAGACCUUGCUCACUAAUAAGAGGAAAUAAUUUGUGUGCUAAAACAGAAUAAAACCAGCUACUGGAGGAUAACAUCUGGAAAAAAGACACUAGAAAACAAGCUGCUAUGCUGAGUUCUGGGCCCCCCAGUUCAAGAAGGGUGCAGAACUGCUUGAGCAUGUCCCGCGGAGAGCUACCACAAUGAUCAGGGGACUGGAGCACCUCCCUUAUGAGGAAAGGCUGAGAGACUUGGGUUUGUUCAGCCUGGAGAAGAGAAGAUUGAGAGGGGAUCUCAUCAAUACCUAUAAAUAUCUAAAGGGUGAGUGUCAGGAUGAUGGGACUGGGCUCUUUUCAGUGGUGCCCAAUGACAAGACAAGGGUCAAUGGGCACAAGUUGGAACACAAGAAGUUCCACCUCAACAUGAGGAAAAACUUCUUUCCUGUGCGGGUGCCAGAGCAGCGGCACAGGCUGCCCAGAGAGGCUGUGGAGUCUCCUUCCCUGGAGACAUUCAAACCCCGCCUGGACGUGUUCCUGUGCCCCCUGCUCUGGGUGUGCCUGCUCACGCAGGGGGGAUGGACAAGAUGAUCUCCAGAGGUUCCUUCCAACCCCUACCAUUCUGUGAUUCUGUGAUAUGUACACCUAUCCAAACCAUGAGGCUGCAUUUGCCGCCUCCACCCCCCUACCCCUGCACCCCCAUUCUGCAAUGACAGAGAGAACGCAGCCAUCUAGAGCUGCCUAUGGUGUGGCUGGGCAUUCUCUUCUCUUGCUGCUUAAUAUAGAGAGCAAAACUGAACAUGGUGGGAACUUUACGUAUGACAUCCUGCUCAUUAAAAUGGAACCCAUCUUGCCUUGUGGCAUUGUCCUCAAAAGAGCAAGCCCUGAUGGGCUAGGAGAGGAUACUGAGUAGAUGAGGCUGCUUAUUGCAGCCUCUGAGUUAAGGCAUUUGUGAGGAUGACUCAAGACACUAAGCCAAGGACACUAAUAUUACCAAUUUGCUUUCAACUUAGAAUUGCCUGUAAUGGAUCCACACAUGUAGCACUUUCCUGUCCUUCAAGCGCGUAACAAAUAACCAGUGGUCUCCAACAACAUUCUAGAUCAUACUCUCAGGCACACAUCUAGCAUGGACCUGGCUGUAUCUUGGUCUUUCCCUGCAGAGUUAAGCGACAGCUAAAUGAAGGGGCAAGGAUUGAACAGUUAGGAACCUAACGUUUAGCCUGCUUGAUUACUGUACCAGCUAGAUCUGUAAAAUACCCUUACCAGCUUCUGAUGAGUGACAGUGCUACUACAGUUACAAAUUCUUUUCAAUAUUUUCCACUUUUUCUGCAGGUAAGAAAACUGCUUUACUCUAUGGAAAAAUCAGGAAAAAGUAACAAUCAUAAAACCAUAGUGAGGUAUAAACCCAUGUGAUACACUUAGUAUAGGAAGUAAGUGCUUUGUAAGGGAAAUAAGUUCUCUCUUUUUACUGGAAGCAUCCAUGUUCCUAAAGUAGCAUCUUCCCACCAUCCAGAGAAUUUAACCUUUGGAAUUAAAAGAGGAACAGAAGCCAAGACUUUGUGUCAUUGUAUAGGUAAACCAAACCCUGACAUACAGUUUCAGUGUAAUUAGAAGGACAGAGGAUACAAAAAUAAUAAAGCAACUCUAGGCUAUGCUGUAAGAAAACCAAAAAUCCCUCCUUGUUUGAGAAUUUAAGGGAAGAUUUUGAAAACCCCAUCCUAGAAAGCAGACACACCAGGUAUAAAGUUUGGCCCACAAAUCAUGCAGCUUUUUUCUUCUUAAGCAAAUACUGCAACUUCACCACUCUUAUGUUUAACA